Molecule: ribosomal RNA, 468 nt
Filed under: uncultured bacterium
Lineage: Bacteria
Description: partial 16S ribosomal RNA
Rfam family: Bacterial small subunit ribosomal RNA
Source: RNAcentral
GAUGAACGCUGGCGGCGUGCUUAACACAUGCAAGUCGAACGGAAAGGCCCAAGCUUGCUUGGGUACUCGAGUGGCGAACGGGUGAGUAACACGUGGGCGAUCUGCCCUGCACUUCGGGAUAAGCCUGGGAAACUGGGUCUAAUACCGGAUAGGACGAUGGUUUGGAUGCCAUUGUGGAAAGUUUUUUCGGUGUGGGAUGAGCUCGCGGCCUAUCAGCUUGUUGGUGGGGUAAUGGCCUACCAAGGCGUCGACGGGUAGCCGGCCUGAGAGGGUGUACGGCCACAUUGGGACUGAGAUACGGCCCAGACUCCUACGGGAGGCAGCAGUGGGGAAUAUUGCACAAUGGGCGCAAGCCUGAUGCAGCGACGCCGCGUGGGGGAUGACGGCCUUCGGGUUGUAAACUCCUUUCGCUAGGGACGAAGCGUUUUUGUGACGGUACCUGGAGAAGAAGCACCGGCUAACUACGUG